Molecule: transfer RNA, 73 nt
Filed under: Anaerolineales bacterium HSG25
Lineage: Bacteria; Bacillati; Chloroflexota; Anaerolineae; Anaerolineales
Also listed under: 1 other name
Description: tRNA-Ala
Rfam family: tRNA
About the family: Transfer RNA (tRNA) molecules are approximately 80 nucleotides in length. Their secondary structure includes four short double-helical elements and three loops (D, anti-codon, and T loops). Further hydrogen bonds mediate the characteristic L-shaped molecular structure. tRNAs have two regions of fundamental functional importance: the anti-codon, which is responsible for specific mRNA codon recognition, and the 3' end, to which the tRNAs corresponding amino acid is attached (by aminoacyl-tRNA synthetases). tRNAs cope with the degeneracy of the genetic code in two manners: having more than one tRNA (with a specific anti-codon) for a particular amino acid; and 'wobble' base-pairing, i.e. permitting non-standard base-pairing at the 3rd anti-codon position.
Source: RNAcentral
GGGGCUGUAGCUCAGAUGGGAGAGCACCUCCCUUGCACGGAGGGGGUCAGGGGUUCAAGUCCCCUCAGCUCCA